Molecule: non-coding RNA, 948 nt
Organism: Agelaius phoeniceus (red-winged blackbird)
Lineage: Eukaryota; Metazoa; Chordata; Aves; Passeriformes; Icteridae
Source: RefSeq, a predicted model, not a curated record
GUCAGCAGCCUCAGUAUUCUUUCUUACAACAAGAACUUUUUUUCAAAAUGAAGUAGUUCCAGUAAUGUCUGAAGCUUAUGAAGAAGAAAAUCAGCCCAUCCUACUGCAGCUCUUAAGUUCAUCCACCAGAUGAGCCAAAAAAGUAUUAGAGGCUUUGAUCUACUUCAAGUCUGCUGCAAGCAUGACAGAAGAGCACCCUCCUUCAUCAAUGCCCUGAAGCAACAGCAACUUGAUGUGGAAGUUUUCUUCCAGAUGACAAAUGUUGACUGAAUAGAGCAGGGGGAUUUGGCAAUGGAAUAAUUUUUAAGUAACUGGGAGCAUCAGAACAUGUUUAAUAAUAUGCAGUUUUGCAGGUUGUGUAUAAUGUGAAAAUCUGACAAAUUUCAAGUUGCCAUGACAGCUUUGUCAUAGAAACUGUACACUUUCAUAUGGAAAUGGUGACAGAAGUGAUGUGUGAGUUUCUGAAGUAAUCAGUAGAUGAGAUGGCACUGGGGACAGGGAGACAUUUUGGCAACCAAAAGGGAAAAUGUUACAAAAUGGAGAGAAAGAGAGAGAUUUGGGAUGCUAGAGAGGGUGUCAGCCUGCAGCCUCUGUGCUGGAGGGACUGGUGGGAGGAGAAGCAGCAAGCAAGGGCCCAGAAGCAGAGGUCAUGGGUGGACAUUAAUAGUUCUCAGUGGGAGGACAUAGAAGAAAGCUUGAAAGCUGUUCAGAAUGCAAGUAGCAAGACAUCCAGUCAGGAAGCAUUAAAUAGCUUCUAGGAGCAUUGUGUGCCAGGCCAAUUCAUGUGAACAGGUUCCUGCACAUUAUGCAGCCCAUAACUCAGUCCCAUGGUUACAAGCAGGAUAUAGAGAAGCCCAGCAUGGAGAUGGGGAGGGAGGAAAGCAUUUUGGGUCCACAAACCACAAGGGGCUGAAACCAGGCAAAACAAUUAACAUGAAUUGAAGGAGG